This 189-nucleotide ribosomal RNA is filed under the name uncultured soil bacterium. RNAcentral's name for it is "partial 16S ribosomal RNA". It matches the Rfam family "Bacterial small subunit ribosomal RNA", at positions 26 to 213 of the family's 1533-position model. The record is from RNAcentral.
AGGACGAACGCUGGCGGCGUGCUUAACACAUGCAAGUCGAACGGUAAGGCCCCUUCGGGGGUACACGAGUGGCGAACGGGUGAGUAACACGUGGGUAAUCUGCCCUGCACUUCGGGAUAAGCCUGGGAAACUGGGUCUAAUACCGGAUAUGAACUCCUGCCGCAGUGGGUGGGGGUUGGUAAAGUUUUC